Ursus americanus (American black bear) is the source of this 105-nucleotide small nuclear RNA. Lineage: Eukaryota; Metazoa; Chordata; Mammalia; Carnivora; Ursidae. The record is from Ensembl.
GUGCUUGCUUUGGCAGCACAUACACAAAAUUGGAAUGAUACAGAGAGAUUAGUAUGGUUCCUGUGCAAGAAGGACACGCAAACUUGUGGAAAAAUCCCUAUUUUU